Molecule: ribosomal RNA, 424 nt
Filed under: uncultured prokaryote
Description: bacterial SSU rRNA
Rfam family: Bacterial small subunit ribosomal RNA
Source: RNAcentral
UGGGGAAUCUUGGACAAUGGGGGAAACCCUGAUCCAGCCAUGCCGCGUGAGUGAUGAAGGCCUUAGGGUCGUAAAGCUCUUUCGCCUGGGAAGAUAAUGACGGUACCAGGUAAAGAAACCCCGGCUAACUCCGUGCCAGCAGCCGCGGUAAUACGGAGGGAGCUAGCGUUGUUCGGAAUUACUGGGCGUAAAGCGCGCGUAGGCGGCCAUUCAAGUCAGAGGUGAAAGCCCGGGGCUCAACUCCGGAACUGCCUUUGAAACUAGAUGGCUAGAAUCCAGGAGAGGUGAGUGGAAUUCCGAGUGUAGAGGUGAAAUUCGUAGAUAUUCGGAAGAACACCAGUGGCGAAGGCGACUCACUGGACUGGUAUUGACGCUGAGGUGCGAAAGCGUGGGGAGCAAACAGGAUUAGAUACCCCUGUAGUCC